RNAcentral lists this microRNA (22 nucleotides) under Ixodes scapularis (black-legged tick). Its description in RNAcentral is "Isc-Mir-277_3p (mature (guide))". Lineage: Eukaryota; Metazoa; Arthropoda; Arachnida; Ixodida; Ixodidae. The record is from RNAcentral.
UAAAUGCAUUAUCUGGAAUGCA